RNAcentral lists this ribosomal RNA (537 nucleotides) under uncultured Paraconiothyrium. Its description in RNAcentral is "eukaryotic LSU rRNA". The stretch from base 198 to 351 matches the Rfam family "5.8S ribosomal RNA". The record is from RNAcentral. Lineage: Eukaryota; Fungi; Ascomycota; Dothideomycetes; Pleosporales; Didymosphaeriaceae.
AAGGAUCAUUAUCUAUUUGUUGGAUGUGGUCGCGGCCCCCGUAUUCCGGGUGGUAGGGGUAACACCCUCACGCGCCACAUGCACUAAUCCUCUUUUUACGAGCACCUUCUGUUCUCCUUCGGCGGGGCAACCUGCCGUUGGAACCAACAAAACCUUUUGAAUUCAGUAUUACCUGUUCUGAUACAAACAAUCGUAACAACUUUCAACAAUGGAUCUCUUGGUUCUGGCAUCGAUGAAGAACGCAGCGAAAUGCGAUAAGUAAUGUGAAUUGCAGAAUUCAGUGAAUCAUCGAAUCUUUGAACGCACAUUGCGCCCUUUGGUAUUCCGAGGGGCAUGCCUGUUCGAGCGUCAUUUAAAAACAUCAAGCACGGCUUGGUCUUGGGCGGGGUCUCCGGACCCGCCUGUAACCGGUUGGCGGCACCGCCUGGCUUUAAGCGUAGCAAGUCUUACCCUCGCUUCGGAGCCCGUGUGGGGACCGGCCCUAGGUACCUCUAAAGUUUGACCUCGGAUCAGGUAGGGAUACCCGCUGAACUUAAG